Mycena galopus ATCC 62051 is the source of this 92-nucleotide non-coding RNA. The record is from the annotation of a GenBank genome assembly. NCBI's taxonomy places the organism in Eukaryota, Fungi, Basidiomycota, Agaricomycetes, Agaricales, Mycenaceae.
GCAUUAAUGGGGUAGUGAUAACCUGGGUCAUUGCCAUCAUAAAUGAAGUGUUAAGUCUCGACCCGCCGGGGGUUCGAUUCCCCCUUAAUGCA